UAAGACGAACCGUGCGAACGUUGUUCGGAUUCACUGGGCUUAAAGGGCGCGUAGGCGGAUCCAUCAGUCUGUGGUGAAAGCCCCCGGCUCAACCGGGGAACAGCCGUGGAUACUGUGGGUCUGGAGGGAGGUAGGGGCAUGCGGAACUUCCGGUGGAGCGGUGAAAUGCGUAGAGAUCGGAAGGAACGCCGGUGGCGAAAGCGGCGUGCUGGACCUCUUCUGACGCUGAGGCGCGAAAGCCAGGGGAGCGAACGGGAUUAGAUACCCCGGUAGUCCUGGCCCUAAACGAUGGGUACUAGGUAGUGGGCCGACAUGGGCUCACUGCCGAAGCAAAAGUGUUAAGUACCCCGCCUGGGGAGUAUGGUCGCAAGGCUG
RNAcentral lists this ribosomal RNA (375 nucleotides) under uncultured bacterium. RNAcentral's name for it is "bacterial SSU rRNA". It matches the Rfam family "Bacterial small subunit ribosomal RNA", at positions 521 to 896 of the family's 1533-position model. The record is from RNAcentral.